AGUGGGUCGCCCAGCCAGCACAUGAUCAACAAUUAUUCUUCGUGGUAUUUUUCUUCACUGCAUCCAUCUAUUGAGGCUGUGCUGUACUGAAGUUGAGUGCUACUGACAUCAAGGCAGAUGGAGAACAUAUGCACAGGGCUGCGUUGUACUGGAAAUGUGGUGGUUCAUUUGAGUAAAUGGAAAUGGCUAGACAUGAAAGCACAGAACUGAACUGCAAAAGAAGAUGUUCUGUUUUCCACAUGAGGAUUCAUGGGUCAGCUCAGGCUUGAUUUUGCUGACUGCUGUGCUUCUAAAAGACC
Molecule: long non-coding RNA, 299 nt
Filed under: Calidris pugnax (ruff)
Lineage: Eukaryota; Metazoa; Chordata; Aves; Charadriiformes; Scolopacidae
Description: lncRNA (ENSCPUG00000007176.1)
Source: RNAcentral